GAUGAACGCUGGCGGCGUGCUUAACACAUGCAAGUCGAACGGAAAGGCCCAAGCUUGCUUGGGUACUCGAGUGGCGAACGGGUGAGUAACACGUGGGUGAUCUGCCCUGCACUUCGGGAUAAGCAUGGGAAACUGGGUCUAAUACCGGAUAGGAACACUUCUUGGAUGUUGUGGUGGAAAGUUUUUUCGGUGUGGGAUGAGCUCGCGGCCUAUCAGCUUGUUUGUGGGGUAAUGGCCUACCAAGGCGUCGACGGGUAGCCGGCCUGUGAGGGUGUACGGCCACAUUGGGACUGAGAGACGGCCCAGGCUCCUACGGGAGGCAGCAGGGGGGAAUAUUGCACAAUGGGCGCAAGCCGGAUGCAGCGACGCCGCGUGGGGGAUGACGGCCUUCGGGUUGUGAACUCCUUUCGCUAUGGACGAAGCGUUUUGUGACGGUACCUGGAGAAGAAGCACCGGCUAACUACGUG
Molecule: ribosomal RNA, 467 nt
Filed under: uncultured bacterium
Lineage: Bacteria
Description: partial 16S ribosomal RNA
Rfam family: Bacterial small subunit ribosomal RNA
Source: RNAcentral